GUCCGAUCCAAUGUUUACCACAGAGACACAGGGGGUCAUUCCAGUACUUCUAAUAUCGAUUAGUGAUGUACCGAACGGUUCGCCAGCGAACGGUUCCCGGCGAACAUAGCAUGUUCGCGUUCGCCACGGCGGGCGAACAUAUGCACGGUUCGACCCGCCCCCUAUUCGUCAUCAUUGAGUAAACUUUGACCCUGUACCUCACAGUCAGCAGACACAUUCCAG
Pelobates cultripes (western spadefoot toad) is the source of this 222-nucleotide non-coding RNA. Lineage: Eukaryota; Metazoa; Chordata; Amphibia; Anura; Pelobatidae. The record is from the annotation of a GenBank genome assembly.